This 253-nucleotide ribosomal RNA is filed under the name uncultured bacterium. Its description in RNAcentral is "partial 16S ribosomal RNA". It matches the Rfam family "Bacterial small subunit ribosomal RNA", at positions 524 to 776 of the family's 1533-position model. The record is from RNAcentral.
UACGGAGGGGGCUAGCGUUGUUCGGAAUUACUGGGCGUAAGGCGCACGUAGGCGGCUUUGUAAGUUAGAGGUGAAAGCCCGGGGCUCAACUCCGGAAUUGCCUUUAAGACUGCAUCGCUAGAAUUGUGGAGAGGUAAGUGGAAUUCCGAGUGUAGAGGUGAAAUUCGUAGAUAUUCGGAAGAACACCAGUGGCGAAGGCGACUUACUGGACACAUAUUGACGCUGAGGUGCGAAAGCGUGGGGGGCAAACAGG